CCUACGGGAGGCAGCAGUGGGGAAUUUUGGACAAUGGGCGCAAGCCUGAUCCAGCCAUGCCGCGUGCAGGAUGAAGGCCUUCGGGUUGUAAACUGCCUUUGUACGGGACGAAAAGACUCUUCCUAAUACGAGGGGUCCAUGACGGUACCGUAAGAAUAAGCACCGGCUAACUACGUGCCAGCAGCCGCGGUAAUACGUAGGGUGCAAGCGUUAAUCGGAAUUACUGGGCGUAAAGCGUGCGCAGGCGGUAAUGUAAGACAGAUGUGAAAUCCCCGGGCUCAACCUGGGAACUGCAUUUGUGACUGCAUUGCUGGAGUGCGGCAGAGGGGGAUGGAAUUCCGCGUGUAGCAGUGAAAUGCGUAGAUAUGCGGAGGAACACCGAUGGCGAAGGCAAUCCCCUGGGCCUGCACUGACGCUCAUGCACGAAGACGUGGGAGGACAACAGAUAGUAUACCUACGUAGUACACGACCUAACCGACUAGUCACUAGGUUGGUUGGGUUCGUUCUA
RNAcentral lists this ribosomal RNA (508 nucleotides) under uncultured bacterium. Its description in RNAcentral is "bacterial SSU rRNA". It matches the Rfam family "Bacterial small subunit ribosomal RNA", at positions 338 to 839 of the family's 1533-position model. The record is from RNAcentral.